This 388-nucleotide ribosomal RNA is filed under the name uncultured bacterium. RNAcentral describes it as "bacterial SSU rRNA". It matches the Rfam family "Bacterial small subunit ribosomal RNA", at positions 30 to 420 of the family's 1533-position model. The record is from RNAcentral.
AUUGAACGCUGGCGGCAUGCCUUACACAUGCAAGUCGAACGGUAACGGGCCUCCGGGUGCCGACGAGUGGCGAACGGGUGAGUAAUGCAUCGGAACGUACCUUUCAGUGGGGGAUAACGUAGCGAAAGUUACGCUAAUACCGCAUAUUCUGUGAGCAGGAAAGCAGGGGAUCGCAAGACCUUGCGCUGAUUGAGCGGCCGAUGUCAGAUUAGCUAGUUGGUGAGGUAAAGGCUCACCAAGGCGACGAUCUGUAGCGGGUCUGAGAGGAUGAUCCGCCACACUGGAACUGAGACACGGUCCAGACUCCUACGGGAGGCAGCAGUGGGGAAUUUUGGACAAUGGGGGCAACCCUGAUCCAGCCAUGCCGCGUGAGUGAAGAAGGCCUCGG